GCCGAAGUGGUGAAAUUGGUAGACACGCAACGUUCAGGGCGUUGUGCUCGAAAGGGCAUGGGGGUUCGAGUCCCCCCUUCGGCACCA
This 87-nucleotide transfer RNA is filed under the name Dictyobacter alpinus. RNAcentral describes it as "tRNA-Leu". It matches the Rfam family "tRNA". From Rfam's summary of the family: Transfer RNA (tRNA) molecules are approximately 80 nucleotides in length. RNAcentral also lists the same sequence under 1 other name. The record is from RNAcentral. Lineage: Bacteria; Bacillati; Chloroflexota; Ktedonobacteria; Ktedonobacterales; Dictyobacteraceae.